RNAcentral lists this ribosomal RNA (393 nucleotides) under uncultured bacterium. RNAcentral's name for it is "partial 16S ribosomal RNA". It matches the Rfam family "Bacterial small subunit ribosomal RNA", at positions 523 to 918 of the family's 1533-position model. The record is from RNAcentral.
AUACGGAGGAUCCGAGCGUUAUCCGGAUUUAUUGGGUUUAAAGGGAGCGUAGGCGGACGCUUAAGUCAGUUGUGAAAGUUUGCGGCUCAACCGUAAAAUUGCAGUUGAUACUGGGUGUCUUGAGUACAGUAGAGGCAGGGGGAGUUCGUGGGGUAGGGGGGAAAUGCUUAGAUAUCACGAAGAACUCCGAUUGCGAAGGCAGCCUGCUGGACUGUAACUGACGCUGAUGCUCGAAAGUGUGGGUAUCAAACAGGAUUAGAUACCCUGGUAGUCCACACAGUAAACGAUGAAUACUCGCUGUUUGCGAUAUACAGUAAGCGGCCAAGCGAAAGCGUUAAGUAUUCCACCUGGGGAGUACGCCGGCAACGGUGAAACUCAAAGGAAUUGACGGGG